AUUGGUAAAAUGUACAAAUUUUUUGUACAUAUUACCAAAAUCCGGUAAAACUGAUGUCAGAUGUAAUGUACAUCCCUACCAGAGAUUCGUACAUUUUACUUCAUGCCAUUUGUAACCUUCAAUGUUUUCAUUCCUAGCGACUGUGAAGUGCGCACUUCGUAAUCGCCAUUUUUUUGUGGAAGCGAAGCAAUUCGGAGAUAUUCCGAAAUACACUCAUUUUGGACGACGUUUCUUCUAUUCUACUACUGAUAGAAGCAUUUCCAUUUGCGAUCAAUCGUAAACGAACAUUUUACAACAGCCAUUAUUCGAUGCUAAUAUUUGGCGAUACAAACUAGGGAAAGGAAGAACCAAUAACGAUUCACCAUCGGUCCGUGCAAACGGUAUCAAAUGAAUCAAAAAAAUCUAACUUGAAUGUUUUUUUUUCCGGUGAUGAGCUGCUCGUCGAAGCUAAGUUGUCAAUUUUAUUUUGGUUUCCGCGUUUCUGUCUGCGAUAUUGAACCCUAAGAUGGAAGAAUUCGGCGAUCUGCUGGUCGAGAGCACUCACAACUUGUGAGACAAAGAGCGAAUUCAACAAAGUUAAACAAAGACAACGAAAACCAUCGUAGCUCCCAUUCAGUUCCGUACAGCAUAUACGGCUAUGGCGACUAUCAGAAAGCUGUUGAUCUAUGGAUACAAUUCGGACCAACAAACUGGUGAGACGAAUGAGCCCCUUGCGGCGGAAGCAUUCAGACAGAACUUCGCAACCAUCAGAACGCACCUAGCGGAGAAGACGUAUGCUGUUAUGUCAAGACAGACAUACUUUUAGUUUGAGGUACGGACUGUGGGACUGAUGAGGGACUGCAAUUCCGAAACGAUGUUGGGGAAUGAUGAUCCAUCGUGUGCUUUUGAUGGCUACAAUAUAAGCAUGAGCACAAAUAUCGAAUCCGAUUGUUCAAUACGACCAAUCACGACCCCUCAAUCCAAUGUAGUUGUUCUGUUACAAGAAAACAAGCCCCAAAUUCCUACUGAAGACACAUUUCCACUGCCUCACCAAGAGCAAAUCACAUAGAUGGUUGCCGAAAAAUUUCAAAUGUAAGUUUAUAUGAACCCCCUUCUUCGAACUCUGGGGCAUUCCAAAGCGUCACAAUUAAAUGGGCAAGUAAACUACACCUGCGCAGGGUCGAAGAUUUCGGUAGGCGAUACCUGGUCGGAGACGUAAUCGUUUUCUUCUUAAAUAUCCACGACAAGAUCAGCACGAGAGGAAUAAAUACGAACUAAGAGUACUGGGUACUGGUGUCAUCAACUUCCUGCUAAUCAGCGCCCCAUUCUCUAGAGACAGCGAUGCAGUAGAAGGAGUUAUUGCGACGAGAAUUAUUGUUGUUUUCAUAUUUUACAUUUUUUUUAUUGUAGAACUAUUGAAAUUGUAUAUAGAAUAAGUGAUUAGUGAAAUAUUAUAUUAAAAUAACAUGUUAUCAAACACAGGAUUUUAAAUAAAA
This is a long non-coding RNA of Toxorhynchites rutilus septentrionalis, 1475 nucleotides long. RefSeq lists it as uncharacterized. The transcript is spliced from 4 exons. The record is from RefSeq and is a predicted model, not a curated record. Lineage: Eukaryota; Metazoa; Arthropoda; Insecta; Diptera; Culicidae.